This 2924-nucleotide ribosomal RNA is filed under the name Klebsiella sp. PO552. Its description in RNAcentral is "bacterial LSU rRNA". It matches the Rfam family "Bacterial large subunit ribosomal RNA". Lineage: Bacteria; Pseudomonadati; Pseudomonadota; Gammaproteobacteria; Enterobacterales; Enterobacteriaceae. The record is from RNAcentral.
GGGUUGUGAGGUUAAGCGACUAAGCGUACACGGUGGAUGCCCUGGCAGUCAGAGGCGAUGAAGGACGUGCUAAUCUGCGAAAAGCGUCGGUAAGGUGAUAUGAACCGUUACAGCCGGCGAUGUCCGAAUGGGGAAACCCAGUGUGAUUCGUCACACUAUCGUUAACUGAAUACAUAGGUUAACGAGGCGAACCGGGGGAACUGAAACAUCUAAGUACCCCGAGGAAAAGAAAUCAACCGAGAUUCCCCCAGUAGCGGCGAGCGAACGGGGAGCAGCCCAGAGUCUGAAUCAGCUUGUGUGUUAGUGGAACGGUCUGGAAAGUCCGACGGUACAGGGUGAUAGUCCCGUACACCAAAAUGCACAGGCUGUGAACUCGAAGAGUAGGGCGGGACACGUGGUAUCCUGUCUGAAUAUGGGGGGACCAUCCUCCAAGGCUAAAUACUCCUGACUGACCGAUAGUGAACCAGUACCGUGAGGGAAAGGCGAAAAGAACCCCGGCGAGGGGAGUGAAAAAGAACCUGAAACCGUGUACGUACAAGCAGUGGGAGCCUCUUUAUGGGGUGACUGCGUACCUUUUGUAUAAUGGGUCAGCGACUUAUAUUCUGUAGCAAGGUUAACCGUAUAGGGGAGCCGCAGGGAAACCGAGUCUUAACUGGGCGUUAAGUUGCAGGGUAUAGACCCGAAACCCGGUGAUCUAGCCAUGGGCAGGUUGAAGGUUGGGUAACACUAACUGGAGGACCGAACCGACUAAUGUUGAAAAAUUAGCGGAUGACUUGUGGCUGGGGGUGAAAGGCCAAUCAAACCGGGAGAUAGCUGGUUCUCCCCGAAAGCUAUUUAGGUAGCGCCUCGUGAACUCAUCUUCGGGGGUAGAGCACUGUUUCGGCUAGGGGGUCAUCCCGACUUACCAACCCGAUGCAAACUACGAAUACCGAAGAAUGUUAUCACGGGAGACACACGGCGGGUGCUAACGUCCGUCGUGAAGAGGGAAACAACCCAGACCGCCAGCUAAGGUCCCAAAGUCAUGGUUAAGUGGGAAACGAUGUGGGAAGGCCCAGACAGCCAGGAUGUUGGCUUAGAAGCAGCCAUCAUUUAAAGAAAGCGUAAUAGCUCACUGGUCGAGUCGGCCUGCGCGGAAGAUGUAACGGGGCUAAACCAUGCACCGAAGCUGCGGCAGCGACACUAUGUGUUGUUGGGUAGGGGAGCGUUCUGUAAGCCUGUGAAGGUGGCCUGUGAGGGCUGCUGGAGGUAUCAGAAGUGCGAAUGCUGACAUAAGUAACGAUAAAGCGGGUGAAAAGCCCGCUCGCCGGAAGACCAAGGGUUCCUGUCCAACGUUAAUCGGGGCAGGGUGAGUCGACCCCUAAGGCGAGGCCGAAAGGCGUAGUCGAUGGGAAACAGGUUAAUAUUCCUGUACUUGGUGUUACUGCGAAGGGGGGACGGAGAAGGCUAUGUCAUCCGGGCGACGGUUGUCCCGGUUUAAGCAUGUAGGCUGGUUAUCCAGGCAAAUCCGGAUAAUCAAGGCUGAGGUGUGAUGACGAGGUACCACGGUACUGAAGUGACAGAUGCCCUGCUUCCAGGAAAAGCCUCUAAGCAUCAGGUAACAUCAAAUCGUACCCCAAACCGACACAGGUGGUCAGGUAGAGAAUACCAAGGCGCUUGAGAGAACUCGGGUGAAGGAACUAGGCAAAAUGGUGCCGUAACUUCGGGAGAAGGCACGCUGGUGUGUAGGUGAAGUCCCUGCGGACGGAGCUGAGACCAGUCGAAGAUACCAGCUGGCUGCAACUGUUUAUUAAAAACACAGCACUGUGCAAACACGAAAGUGGACGUAUACGGUGUGACGCCUGCCCGGUGCCGGAAGGUUAAUUGAUGGGGUUAUCCGUAAGGAGAAGCUCUUGAUCGAAGCCCCGGUAAACGGCGGCCGUAACUAUAACGGUCCUAAGGUAGCGAAAUUCCUUGUCGGGUAAGUUCCGACCUGCACGAAUGGCGUAAUGAUGGCCAGGCUGUCUCCACCCGAGACUCAGUGAAAUUGAACUCGCUGUGAAGAUGCAGUGUACCCGCGGCAAGACGGAAAGACCCCGUGAACCUUUACUAUAGCUUGACACUGAACAUUGAGCCUUGAUGUGUAGGAUAGGUGGGAGGCUUUGAAGCGUGGACGCCAGUCUGCGUGGAGCCAACCUUGAAAUACCACCCUUUAAUGUUUGAUGUUCUAACGUUGGCCCCUUAUCGGGGUUGCGGACAGUGUCUGGUGGGUAGUUUGACUGGGGCGGUCUCCUCCCAAAGCGUAACGGAGGAGCACGAAGGUUAGCUAAUCCUGGUCGGACAUCAGGAGGUUAGUGCAAUGGCAUAAGCUAGCUUGACUGCGAGCGUGACGGCGCGAGCAGGUGCGAAAGCAGGUCAUAGUGAUCCGGUGGUUCUGAAUGGAAGGGCCAUCGCUCAACGGAUAAAAGGUACUCCGGGGAUAACAGGCUGAUACCGCCCAAGAGUUCAUAUCGACGGCGGUGUUUGGCACCUCGAUGUCGGCUCAUCACAUCCUGGGGCUGAAGUAGGUCCCAAGGGUAUGGCUGUUCGCCAUUUAAAGUGGUACGCGAGCUGGGUUUAGAACGUCGUGAGACAGUUCGGUCCCUAUCUGCCGUGGGCGCUGGAGAAUUGAGGGGGGCUGCUCCUAGUACGAGAGGACCGGAGUGGACGCAUCACUGGUGUUCGGGUUGUCAUGCCAAUGGCACUGCCCGGUAGCUAAAUGCGGAAGAGAUAAGUGCUGAAAGCAUCUAAGCACGAAACUUGCCCCGAGAUGAGUUCUCCCUGAGACUAUAAGUCUCCUGAAGGAACGUUGAAGACGACGACGUUGAUAGGCCGGGUGUGUAAGCGCAGCGAUGCGUUGAGCUAACCGGUACUAAUGAACCGUGAGGCUUAACCUUACAACGCCGAAG